ACGCUCGACACCUACGGGAGGCAGCAGUGGGGAAUAUUGCACAAUGGGGGAAACCCUGAUGCAUCGACGCCGCGUGAGCGAAGAAGUAUUUCGGUAUGUAAAGCUCUAUCAGCAGGGAAGAAAAUGACGGUACCUGACUAAGAAGCCCCGGCUAACUACGUGCCAACAGCCGCGGUAAUCUGAGCGGGCUGGCAAGGC
This 198-nucleotide ribosomal RNA is filed under the name uncultured bacterium. RNAcentral's name for it is "partial 16S ribosomal RNA". It matches the Rfam family "Bacterial small subunit ribosomal RNA", at positions 328 to 539 of the family's 1533-position model. The record is from RNAcentral.